UAGCCACGGUAAUACCCGCUCCCCGAGUGGUGGGGACUUUUACUGAGCUUAAAGCGCCCGUAGCCGGUCAUGCGUGUCUCCAGUUAAAUCUAACGGCCCAACCGUUAGGCUGCGGAAGAUACCACAGGGCUAGGGGCGGGAGAGGUGGACGGGUACUCCAAGGGUAGGGGUAAAAUACCUCUGAUCCUUGGAAGACCACCGGUGGCGAAGGC
Molecule: ribosomal RNA, 212 nt
Filed under: uncultured archaeon
Lineage: Archaea
Description: partial 16S ribosomal RNA
Rfam family: Archaeal small subunit ribosomal RNA
Source: RNAcentral